AUGUACCGCUCGUACACUCCGGUUCCUGUGCGCCGUCCACGCCCACCUGACGACCGCUCGCUACGUUUUGUUAGCC
Molecule: small RNA, 76 nt
Filed under: Xanthomonas campestris
Lineage: Bacteria; Pseudomonadati; Pseudomonadota; Gammaproteobacteria; Lysobacterales; Lysobacteraceae
Also listed under: 1 other name
Description: sRNA sX9
Rfam family: Xanthomonas sRNA sX9
Source: RNAcentral